This 74-nucleotide transfer RNA is filed under the name Ophirina amphinema. Its description in RNAcentral is "tRNA-Arg". It matches the Rfam family "tRNA". Rfam says of the family: Transfer RNA (tRNA) molecules are approximately 80 nucleotides in length. Their secondary structure includes four short double-helical elements and three loops (D, anti-codon, and T loops). Further hydrogen bonds mediate the characteristic L-shaped molecular structure. tRNAs have two regions of fundamental functional importance: the anti-codon, which is responsible for specific mRNA codon recognition, and the 3' end, to which the tRNAs corresponding amino acid is attached (by aminoacyl-tRNA synthetases). tRNAs cope with the degeneracy of the genetic code in two manners: having more than one tRNA (with a specific anti-codon) for a particular amino acid; and 'wobble' base-pairing, i.e. permitting non-standard base-pairing at the 3rd anti-codon position. The record is from RNAcentral. Lineage: Eukaryota; Jakobea; Jakobida; Ophirinidae.
GUGCUCGUAGCUCAAUCGGAUAGAGUAUCAAGCUACGAACUUGACGGUUGAAAGUUCAAAUCUUUCCGAGCACU